UUUGGAUCCUGGCUCAGAACGAACGCUGGCGGCAUGCCUAACACAUGCAAGUCGAACGAGACCUUCGGGUCUAGUGGCGCACGGGUGCGUAACGCGUGGGAAUCUGCCCUUGGGUUCGGAAUAACAGUUGGAAACGACUGCUAAUACCGGAUGAUGACGUAAGUCCAAAGAUUUAUCGCCCAAGGAUGAGCCCGCGUAGGAUUAGCUAGUUGGUGAGGUAAAGGCUCACCAAGGCGACGAUCCUUAGCUGGUCUGAGAGGAUGAUCAGCCACACUGGGACUGAGACACGGCCCAGACUCCUACGGGAGGCAGCAGUGGGGAAUAUUGGACAAUGGGCGAAAGCCUGAUCCAGCAAUGCCGCGUGAGCGAUGAAGGCCUUAGGGUUGUAAAGCUCUUUUACCCGGGAUGAUAAUGAC
Molecule: ribosomal RNA, 416 nt
Filed under: Sphingomonas sp. R-39586
Lineage: Bacteria; Pseudomonadati; Pseudomonadota; Alphaproteobacteria; Sphingomonadales; Sphingomonadaceae
Description: bacterial SSU rRNA
Rfam family: Bacterial small subunit ribosomal RNA
Source: RNAcentral